UGGCCUUUGAUAUGCCGCUGCAAAGCUAUUUCUCGACUGUUUCUGCAUAUGUAAUACACUUGUUCUGAAAUCUUCUUUUAUUCCUCUCCAUCCAUGUGUAAUAAACUAUUACUGCAAAUAGAAAUGUGAGAACUUGAGCUCGUGGUCUACUGCUGUUUGUCCUCUUGAUCAGCCAUUUUAAUUCCUGUUCCCAACUUCCAAUGUUGAGUUUUUCUUUCAACCAGCCUACUAAAGCAGCCCAUAUUGAUCUAGAAUAAGCACAUUCAAAGAAAAGGUGAUCCAACGUCUCUUCUUUCUGGCUAGUGCAUAACACACAUUCCUUUGGCAAAUUAAAUUUCCAUUUUGCCAAUCUAUCCACUGUUGCUAACCUUUGGUUGAGAGUUAACAACAACAACAACUACCCAGUAUACUCCCACCAGGUAGGGUCUGGGGAGGGUAAUAUGUAGACAAGCCUUACCCCUACCCGAAAUCGAUGCCUUGGUAUAAAUUGAUGCCUUGGUAUAGUAACAUCUCCCAACACAAGAUUCUUCCAUGUAACUUUCUGAAAUUGAGGCCUUGCUGCUAUAUACGUUUUCUUGAUGCUAAACUUUCCUUGCUUGCAAAAUUCAUGUAGGCCUUUUACUUUAAUUAGAUUUAAUAUUGUCUAGAACUAUUGACUUAACUGAUUUCUUUUUUUCUCUCCUAUAGGUGAUGAUGAUGAUGGUAAUGGUGGUGAUGAUGACGAUGACGAGGAAGAGGAGGAUGAGUAUUAGCCAACGUAAUUUGGAUGAUCAUGUAUGAACUUUUAAGUUAGUGUGUGUUUUUAUUUUUUUCUCUUUUUUAAACCUGGAGUUCUUCACUCAUUUAAGGUCUUUGAGGGAAACAGUUGAAUCCUUUUUUCUUUCUUUUGGUUUAGACUAAGUUGCUAUUGCGUAUAAUGUUUUACAUGUCUAUUUUAUGUAAUCUUUGUGUUUUGAGAAAUUACUUAUAAAUUGCUCGGAGCAUUUUCUUUCAGAGCUUUACUUUUGUGGAUUGAUAUAAUAUCCAUGGUUUAGAUU
Molecule: long non-coding RNA, 1037 nt
Filed under: Nicotiana benthamiana
Lineage: Eukaryota; Viridiplantae; Streptophyta; Magnoliopsida; Solanales; Solanaceae
Description: long non-coding RNA (NBEN_LNC032088)
Source: RNAcentral